GAUGAACGCUAGCUACAGGCUUAACACAUGCAAGUCGAGGGGUAACAAGAGAAAAGCUUGCUUUUCUUGUUGACGACCGGCGCACGGGUGAGUAACGCGUAUCCAACCUGCCUAUAACUAGGGAAUAACCUUGCGAAAGUAAGACUAAUACCCUAUGAUUUCCUUUGAUGACAUCAGAUUAGGAAUAAAGAUUUAUCGGUUAUAGAUGGGGAUGCGUAUGAUUAGCUUGUUGGCGGGGUAACGGCCCACCAAGGAAACGAUCAGUAGGGGUUCUGAGAGGAAGGUCCCCCACAUUGGAACUGAGACACGGUCCAAACUCCUACGGGAGGCAGCAGUGAGGAAUAUUGGUCAAUGGGCGGAAGCCUGAACCAGCCAAGUAGCGUGCAGGAUGACGGCCCUAUGGGUUGUAAACUGCUUUUAUACAGGAAUAAAGUUAGCCACGUGUGGUUAUUUGUAGGUACUGUAUGAAUAAGGAUCGGCUAAUUCCGUGCCAGCCGCCGCGGUAA
This 506-nucleotide ribosomal RNA is filed under the name uncultured bacterium. RNAcentral describes it as "partial 16S ribosomal RNA". It matches the Rfam family "Bacterial small subunit ribosomal RNA", at positions 28 to 523 of the family's 1533-position model. The record is from RNAcentral.